GAAUUCGCCCUUAGAGUUUGAUCCUGGCUCAGGAUGAACGCUGGCGGCGUGCUUAACACAUGCAAGUCGAACGGAGCACCCCUGAAGGAGUUUUCGGACAACGGAAGGGGCUGCUUAGUGGCGGACGGGUGAGUAACGCGUGAGGAACCUGCCUUGGAGUGGGGAAUAACAGCUGGAAACAGCUGCUAAUACCGCAUAAUAUAUCUGGGCCGCAUGGCUCUGGAUAUCAAAGAUUUAUCGCUCUGAGAUGGACUCGCGUCUGAUUAGCUGGUUGGCGGGGUAACGGCCCACCAAGGCGACGAUCAGUAGCCGGACUGAGAGGUUGGCCGGCCACAUUGGGACUGAGACACGGCCCAGACUCCUACGGGAGGCAGCAGUGGGGAAUAUUGGGCAAUGGGCGCAAGCCUGACCCAGCAACGCCGCGUGAAGGAAGAAGGCUUUCGGGUUGUAAACUUCUUUUGUCAGGGACGAAGCAAGUGACGGUACCUGACGAAUAAGCCACGGCUAACUACGUGCCAGCAGCCGCGGUAAUACGUAGGUGGCAAGCGUUAUCCGGAUUUACUGGGUGUAAAGGGCGUGUAGGCGGGACUGCAAGUCAGAUGUGAAAACCACGGGCUCAACCUGUGGCCUGCAUUUGAAACUGUAGUUCUUGAGUACUGGAGAGGCAGACGGAAUUCCUAGUGUAGCGGUGAAAUGCGUAGAUAUAUGGAAGAACACCAGUGGCGAAGGCGGCCGCCUGGCCUGUUGCUGACGCUGAGGCACGAAAGCGUGGGGAGCAAAUAGGAUUAGAUACCCUAGUAGUCCACGCCGUAAACGAUGAGGACCAAGUGUUGGGGGUGAAACCUCGGUGCCGCAGCAAACGCAAUAAGUAGUCCACCUGGGGAGUACGUUCGCAAGAAUGAAACUCAAAGGAAUUGACGGGGGCCCGCACAAGCGGUGGAGUAUGUGGUUUAAUUCGAAGCAACGCGAAGAACCUUACCAGGCCUUGACAUGGGAUGCGAAGACGCAGAGAUGCGUUGGAGGUCAACAUCCACACAGGUGGUGCAUGGUUGUCGUCAGCUCGUGUCGUGAGAUGUUGGGUCAAGUCCCGCAACGAGCGCAACCCUUGUGGCAUGUUGCUAACAGGAAAGCUGAGGACUCAUGCCAGACUGCCGGUGACAAACCGGAGGAAGGCGGGGAUGACGUCAAAUCAUCAUGCCCCUUAUGGCCUGGGCUACACACGUACUACAAUGGCGGCUACAAAGAGCGGCGAGACAGGGAUGUCGAGCGAAUCUCAUAAAAGCCGUCCCAGUUCGGAUUGGAGCCUGCAACCCGGCUCCAUGAAGUUGGAAUCGCUAGUAAUCGCGGAUCAGCAUGCCGCGGUGAAUACGUUCCCGGGCCUUGCACACACCGCCCGUCA
Molecule: ribosomal RNA, 1399 nt
Filed under: uncultured bacterium
Lineage: Bacteria
Description: bacterial SSU rRNA
Rfam family: Bacterial small subunit ribosomal RNA
Source: RNAcentral